GUGCUUGCUUCAGCAGCACAUAUACUAAAAUUGAAACGAUAGAGAAAUCAGCAUGGCCCCUGAGCAAGGAUGACAUGCAAAUUCAUGAAGCAUUUCAUAUUUUU
RNAcentral lists this small nuclear RNA (104 nucleotides) under Marmota marmota marmota (Alpine marmot). Lineage: Eukaryota; Metazoa; Chordata; Mammalia; Rodentia; Sciuridae. The record is from RNAcentral.